GCACAAGCGGUGGAGCAUGUGGUUCAAUUCGACGCAACGCGAAGAACCUUACCCAGGCUCGAACGGCAGAUGACGUCUCACGAAAGUGGGUUUCCGCAAGGACAUCUGUCGAGGUGCUGCAUGGCUGUCGUCAGCUCGUGUCGUGAGAUGUUGGGUUAAGUCCCGCAACGAGCGCAACCCUCGCCCUUAGUUGCCAUCAUUUAGUUGGGCACUCUAAGGGGACUGCCGGUGAUAAGCCGGAGGAAGGUGGGGAUGACGUCAAGUCCUCAUGGCCCUUACAGGCUGGGCUACACACGUGCUACAAUGGCGGUGACAGUGGGAUGCAAUGGAGCAAUCCUGCGCAAAUCUCCAAAAGCCGUCUCAGUUCGGAUUGUGCUCUGCAACUCGAGCACAUGAAGUUGGAAUCGCUAGUAAUCGUGGAUCAGCACGCCACGGUGAAUACGUUCCCGGGC
Molecule: ribosomal RNA, 452 nt
Filed under: uncultured bacterium
Lineage: Bacteria
Description: bacterial SSU rRNA
Rfam family: Bacterial small subunit ribosomal RNA
Source: RNAcentral